CCUACGGGCGGCAGCAGUAGGGAAUGUUGCGCAAUGGGCGAAAGCCUGACGCAGCAACGCCGCGUGAAUGAGACGCACUUAGGGGUGUAAAGAUCUGUUAGUGGGGACGAAAGAGGACGGUACGCACAGAGGAAGCAACGGCGAACGCCGUGCCAGCAGCCGCGGUAAUACGGAGGGUGCAAGCGUUGUCCGGAAUCAUUGGGCGUAAAGAGUUCGUAGGCGGUAUGUUAAGUCUGGUGUUAACUGCAGAAGCUCAACGUCUGUUCGGCACUGGAUACUGGCAAACUAGACUGCGGUAGAGGUAACGGGAAUUCCUGGUGUAGCGGUUAACUGCUUCGAUAUCAGG
This 346-nucleotide ribosomal RNA is filed under the name uncultured bacterium. RNAcentral's name for it is "partial 16S ribosomal RNA". It matches the Rfam family "Bacterial small subunit ribosomal RNA", at positions 338 to 701 of the family's 1533-position model. The record is from RNAcentral.